CCUACGGGAGGCAGCAGUAGGGAAUAUUGCUCAAUGGGGGAAACCCUGAAGCAGCAACGCCGCGUGGAGGAUGAAGGUUUUCGGAUUGUAAACUUCUUUGUUUGAAGAAGUAAAUUACGGCACCUAAGCAUUAGUGCCUGGCCAUUCCGGUUCAGGAGCCGCGGUCAUCAGGAGGGUAGCAGCGUUACUCGGAAUCAACGGGCGUAAAGAGGGCGUAGGCGGGAUAGCAAGUCAGGUGUGAAAUCCUAUGGCUUAACCGUAGAACUGCAUUUGAGACUGGUAGUCUAGAGUAUGGGAGAGGUAGGUGGAAUUCUUGGUGUAGGAGUAAAAUCCGUAGAGAUCAAGAAGAAUACUCAUUGCGAAGGCGACCUGCUAGAACGUAACUGACGCUGAUGCGCGAAAGCGUGGGGAGCAAACAGGAUUAGAUACCCGAGUAGUC
Molecule: ribosomal RNA, 439 nt
Filed under: uncultured bacterium
Lineage: Bacteria
Description: partial 16S ribosomal RNA
Rfam family: Bacterial small subunit ribosomal RNA
Source: RNAcentral